AUACGGAGGGUGCAAGCGUUAAUCGGAAUUACUGGGCGUAAAGCGCGCGUAGGCGGUUUGUUAAGCGAGAUGUGAAAGCCCCGGGCUCAACCUGGGAACUGCAUUUCGAACUGGCAGGCUAGAGUACAAGAGAGGGUGGUAGAAUUUCCUGUGUAGCGGUGAAAUGCGUAGAUAUAGGAAGGAAUACCAGUGGCGAAGGCGGCCACCUGGCUUGAUACUGACGCUGAGGUGCGAAAGCGUGGGGAGCGAACAGGAUUAGAAACCCCAGUAGUCC
RNAcentral lists this ribosomal RNA (274 nucleotides) under uncultured bacterium. Its description in RNAcentral is "partial 16S ribosomal RNA". It matches the Rfam family "Bacterial small subunit ribosomal RNA", at positions 523 to 796 of the family's 1533-position model. The record is from RNAcentral.